UACGGAAAAAAACAAUUCCUA
This 21-nucleotide non-coding RNA is filed under the name Caenorhabditis elegans. The record is from RNAcentral. Lineage: Eukaryota; Metazoa; Nematoda; Chromadorea; Rhabditida; Rhabditidae.